UGUUGUCCAAGAUGGAGGGCGCCCUGUCGGCGCCGCUGCCCGUCCGGCUGUUGCUGUUCGUGGCGCUGCCAGCCGCGGGAUGGCUGACCACCAGCGCGCCCAGGCUGCCGUCCACAGCCCCGCAGGAUGCCAUCCAAAUCAAUGUAACUACCCUGAGCAAGAAUGGGGAAGUAUCUAAAGAACAGGUUGUUCUUAACAUAACCUAUGAGAGUGGACAGGUAUAUGUAAAUGACUUACCUGUAAAUAGUGGUGUCACCCGGAUAAGCUGUCAGACUUUGAUAGUGAAGAGUGAAAAUGUGGAAAAUUUGGAGGAGAAAGAAUAUUUUGGAAUUGUCACUGUAAGGAUCUUAGUUCUUGAGAGGCCUGUGACACACAGUUCCGGUUCACAGCUCAUUGUCCUUCAAGAAGAGGUUGUGGAGAUUGAUGGAAGACAAGCUCAACAAAAGAAUGUUACUGAAAUUGACAUUUUAGUUAAGAAUCAGAGAGUACUCAGAUAUUCAAGCUAUUUCCUUCCUUUGGAAGAAAGCAUGCUUUAUUCUAUUUCUCAAGACAGCGACAUUUUAUUCACACUUCCUGACUUUUCCAAAAAAGUAGGAACUGUUAGCUCACUGCAGACCACCAGCCACUACCUCAUGGGGAACGUGGAAACCACUGUGGACGGAAAUGCUUUACCUGGCAAGUUACCUGAGACUCCUCUCAGAGCAGAGCCUCCAUCUUCAUACAAGGUAAUGUGCCAGUGGUUGGAGAAGCUGAGGAAGGCGCUCUGUCGGUUCUGGAGCAAUGUGGUCCCGGUGCUCUUCAUGUUUCUGGACGUCAUGGUGGUUGGAGUUCUGGGAGCAGCAGGAGUCAUAGCGGUGUUAAAGCUGCUCUUCCCAGUGUGUGAGAGCAAAAUUGCUUUAUUUUUAAUUAUUGCAUGAAGGAGAGAGUUUGUGACCAAAGAGGGCACUGGAUCUCCUGCAGCUGGAGCUGUCUGCCUUGGGCACUGAGAACCACACUCGAGUGGGCUGGCUCUGAUAGUAUCUCAAGGUGCAAGGCGGGCUGACAAGGGAGAAAGGCAACCAACAGUCCAACCCAGCUGAUACCUCUACCAACCCUACAGCUACAGCUCAAGGGACAGCACCUAAAAGGAGGCAGAAAGACGGGAAGAGCCAAAGGAUCAGGGAGAGAGUGUCUUCUAGACAUGACAGGGAAGCUGCACCCAUGAAAUCCUAACAAUAUGGCUGCCGAAACAAGACCUGCACAAUGACACCAGUUAACGUGCCAAUGUGGAUGGAGGAACUCCCUAAGGCAUCGACCUGAAAUGAAGGCUACAGGCAACUAAUGGGUGCAGGGAGGGGGAUAAUCAGUCUUCUCCAGAGACAGGCCAACAGGUAGGUUACCCAACCCCAAUGUCAGCACUAAACAUACAUAUGACGGAGAGGGGGUGGGGAUUCCUAUCUUAAUCACUAUGUAGUAGUGUCACUGACAACCUAAUAUGGAAUCAGCUGCACUACUUUUUAGAGGCAAGACUUCAGUCAUCAGUGAAGCUUAACAAAGUCUUUAAAAGGUGGGCAAGUUCAAUCCAAACAGUAUCGGAGCUUGUAGAAUUAUAUUGUUCCUUCUGGUACUGAUCUUUGUGAGGUGAAAUUAAGAAAGAGGAACUCCAGUUAGCCCUGCUCAGAGGUCAUGAUGGGCAGCAGGGUGGCUGUCAUCUGGGUGGCAAAGCUAUCUGCUCCAUUCACAGGGUUCCCUGACAGACAGAAGGGUCAGGCUAGCCCAUGUCAUCUCACUGCACUUGUAUGUUUUAGUACAUACUUAUUUAUCUGUGUGUGUUAAAGUGUCUUUUCUUCUGGAUUGAUUGAUUGAUUGUUAGUUUUGUGACAGGAUCUCACUAGUUACUUUUGUUGUCCUGCAAUUCCCUAUGAAGACCCGCUUGGCCUAAAGCUCACAGAGCUCAUCUGCCUCUGCCUCUCAGUGCUAGGAUCAAAGGUGUACUCCACAAGUCUGGCUUCUCAGAGGUCUAAAGUUAAGUAAAUACCUAGAUUUGCGGAUGUAUCAGGGGUCACCAGACACUGCAGAAGUAAUAAUUAAAAAAAAAAAAAUUACUUCAGAAGACAGCCUAUAUCUCAAGAAAAAAAAUGGAAUUUAUCCAAUGUGGAGAUCCAGAAUGAUCAUGGUGGCUGCUGUUUGUCACCAGACAAAUGAGUUAUCUUUAUAAUAAAUGACUUCCAAAAUAACAAUGAAAAAUUAUAUAUUAAGCAACCUUAAUAAAUACUCUGCAAAAUUGAAUGAACUAUAGAAGAAAAAAAGAGAGAAACUCAAAAUAAGAACUGAAGAAAAUAAUUCAAACACUGGGACCUCACACUUAAGAUCACCACACUUAAGGUAGGAACUGGAGAGUCAGGAGGCUCAGUGGUUAAGAGUUGUCACUGAUCUUGCAGACAACUGCAGUUUAGUUCCCUGCACCCACAACAGGCUGCUCACAAACACCUGUAACUAACUUCAGCUACAAGAGAUUGAGCACCCUCUUCAGGUGCUCACUCAUGUCCAUAUACAAGCAUCUACACUCAUGUCCAUAUACCACACAUGUCCAUGCACACAGACAUACACACACACACAAUUAACAUAAAAUUCAUCUUAAGCUCAAAUCCUUGGCACAGACUGGAGGUAAUCAAAGUUCCAUAGCUACUUAAGAUUUUCGUCUUUAGCUUGUUAAAAUGCAGCACUUACCAUGUCAUAAACAGGGUGCUGUUCAACAACAUAAUUAUGGAGCUGGCAAGAUGGCUCAUGCAGAUAAAUGUACUUGUUGCACAAGUGUGAGUCCUGGAAUCCAUGUAAGGGUGGAAGGAGAGAACCACACCACAAAAUUGUCCUCCAAUGUCUACUUGAGUGUGGUGAUACGCACAGGACCCCUCCCCAUCAUAUAUAUGUGUGUACACACAACAAUCAAAUUUUAAAGAAACCAAUUAGCCAUAAUUACUUUAGACUUACAGCACACUAGUAACGCUCAGAAAAUAGCAGAUAUGGCUCCACCUCUGGAGGAAAGGAGACAAAUAGAAGCCAAAGUUACUCAUGAUCAUAAAGGAUAUUUCAAAGGCACAGCAUCAGGUCCUAGGCGGAGUGUCCCCCUGCCUAUGUAACGGAGAAAGUAGAAUCUCUAUUAGAGCUGUUCCAAACAUUACCAUUUC
Molecule: RNA transcript, 3167 nt
Organism: Mus pahari (shrew mouse)
Lineage: Eukaryota; Metazoa; Chordata; Mammalia; Rodentia; Muridae
Gene: Ginm1
Gene name: glycoprotein integral membrane 1
Exons: 9
Source: RefSeq, a predicted model, not a curated record